This 73-nucleotide transfer RNA is filed under the name bacterium K02(2017). It matches the Rfam family "tRNA". Rfam says of the family: Transfer RNA (tRNA) molecules are approximately 80 nucleotides in length. The record is from Rfam by way of RNAcentral.
GCCGUUGUAGCUCAGUCGGUAGAGCAUUUCCAUGGUAAGGAAAAGGUCACCGGUUCGAUUCCGGUCAACGGCU